This is a long non-coding RNA of Zingiber officinale, 326 nucleotides long. RefSeq lists it as uncharacterized. NCBI's taxonomy places the organism in Eukaryota, Viridiplantae, Streptophyta, Magnoliopsida, Zingiberales, Zingiberaceae. The record is from RefSeq and is a predicted model, not a curated record. The transcript is spliced from 3 exons.
AAAAUACCAGCCGCUCAAGAUGGCAGUACCUCUUCACAACACAUUGCUAAUCAGUUGAAAGCAUCAAACGGAGACAGCAUAUGCCUUAUCCCAUACAACACUGGGGUAAUCUCAAACAACAAGGUUGUGUUGAAUGUGGAUAUUGUGUCAUGCGGUACAUGAAGGAGAUUGUUGAAUGUGAGGAUCUACAGUUGGAGAGGAAGUUUGCAGGUUGUGUGAAGAACCAGUACUAUACGCAGACACAAUAUGAUGAAGUGAGAAUUGAAUGGAGUGAAUUUGUGUACUCGUAUUUGAAGUGAAUUGCAAGUUGUGUGAAUGAACCAGUA